CACACACACACACACACACAGAGACACACAGAGAAAGAGAGGGAGAGAGAGAGAGAGAGGGAGAGAGCCCUUGCUUCUUGGAUUUGUAAGAGAAGAAGAAGAGAGAUGGGAAGAGGAAGAAGAAGCAGAAGAGGUCUGUCAAAAUGAGAGUUUACAUGUAAUCUGUGGCCAGAAUGGAACAAGAAAGAGUCCUUUCCUAUUUUCAUCAUUGCUUGAACAAGAUUUGUUCUGGGAAGAGGGGGAACUUCUCGCACUCUUCUCCAAAGAAGAAGAAGAACAAUCCCAAUUCAAUGUCUACAAUGUGGAAACAGAUAAUGGUCUCUCUAUUGCUCGUCAAGAGGCUGUGGAGUGGAUGCUUAAGGUCAAUGCCCAUUAUGGGUUUUUGGCUCUUACUGCAAUCUUGGCUGUCAACUAUCUUGACAGAUUCAUCUCCAGCUCUUAUUAUCAAAGAGACAAGCCAUGGAUGAUCCAACUUGUGGCUGUGACUUGUCUUUCUUUGGCUGCAAAAGUAGAAGAGACCCAAGUGCCUCUUCUCCUAGACCUCCAAGUUGAGGACACAAAGUAUGUGUUUGAGGCGAAAACCAUUCAAAGAAUGGAGCUUUUGUUGCUUUCUACGCUGAAAUGGAAGAUGCAUCCAGUGACUCCACUCUCAUUUCUUGAUCACAUCGUUAGAAGGCUUGGAUUAAAGACCCAUCUUCAUUGGGAGUUCCUUAGGAGAUGUGAACGUCUUCUACUUACUGUAGUCUCAGAUUCAAGAUCCAUCAGCUAUCUUCCUUCUCUAUUGGCUACUGCUACAAUGAUGCACGUUAUAGACCAAGUUGAGCCCUUAAAUCGGAUGGACUAUCAAAACCAGCUCCUGUCUGUUCUUAAAGUCAGCAAGGUUUUUAUACAUUAUUCUUGAAUUAAUCUUGAUUGAUUAUUUAUUACUAUAGCAUUUGAAUUUUGAACACAGCCACCAAGAAUGUAAAUCUCACAUGAUGCACUCAUUAUUGCGAAACUUCAAAUAAGAGCUUAUCUGAUACUGCAGUCAUUUGUAACAGGAAAAGGUAAAUGAUUGUUAUGAACUCGUUCUCGAGCUAUCAAAGGCCAAAACCAAUGCUUCUGCUGUUGUCUACAACAAGUCUCAGAAGCGAAAGUACAAGCCAAUCCCUAGCAGUCCAAGUGGUGUGAUUGAUGCUACUGUUUUUAGCUGUGACAGCUCAAACGAUUCUUGGGCUCUGGGUUCUUCAGUCUCUUCAUCACCAGAACCACUUUUUAAGAAGAGCAGAGCCCAAGACCAAUGGGUUUUUGCGGACAUCGUUGGCAGCCCUCGUUAAUCUAAUAAAAGAAAAAUCUAUAUUUACUGUGUUUAUUUAUGUCUCUCUGUUCAAUUAAAUUGCCUCCUCCCUCCACCUCUGCAAUUCCAAGAUUGCCCUUUAUAGAAUCCUGCCAUGGAGAUGGGUGUCAUUUUUGAGAGAAGAGGAAGGAUGAGAUGAUGGCUGAUGAGAGGGUGGUGCAUCAAUCUCCCUCUUAUUUUAUGUCUUUGGCACUGUACAAGACUCGUUUUAGAGAAUACUUUUAUAUGGACAUAUUAAUAUCAUAUUGAUAAAAUAAAUUCAAAGCAUUUUUGUUCAUUUGUAAAUAUCAU
RNAcentral lists this unclassified non-coding RNA (1627 nucleotides) under Hevea brasiliensis (rubber tree). Lineage: Eukaryota; Viridiplantae; Streptophyta; Magnoliopsida; Malpighiales; Euphorbiaceae. The record is from RNAcentral.